This 460-nucleotide ribosomal RNA is filed under the name uncultured bacterium. Its description in RNAcentral is "bacterial SSU rRNA". It matches the Rfam family "Bacterial small subunit ribosomal RNA", at positions 327 to 804 of the family's 1533-position model. The record is from RNAcentral.
CGCCUUAUACUCCUACGGGAGGCAGCAGUGGGGAAUUUUGGACAAUGGGGGCAACCCUGAUCCAGCCAUGCCGCGUGAGUGAUGAAGGCCCUAGGGUUGUAAAGCUCUUUUACCUGGGAAGAUAAUGACGGUACCAGGAGAAUAAGCCCCGGCUAACUUCGUGCCAGCAGCCGCGGUAAUACGAAGGGGGCUAGCGUUGUUCGGAAUCACUGGGCGUAAAGAGCACGUAGGCGGAUCUUUAAGUCAGGGGUGAAAUCCCGAGGCUCAACCUCGGAACUGCCUUUGAUACUGGGGAUCUCGAGUCCGGGAGAGGUGAGUGGAACUGCGAGUGUAGAGGUGAAAUUCGUAGAUAUUCGCAAGAACACCAGUGGCGAAGGCGGCUCACUGGCCCGGAACUGACGCUGAGGUGCGAAAGCGUGGGGAGCAAACAGGAUUAGAUACCCGAGUAGUCCACGUACCA